AAAAUGGCAACUGAAUCGCACGCACGUACUCCUGCCCUCGAGCGAGACCUCCUGCCCUCGAGCGAAACGAGGCUCCCUCGCACGAACCAGAGGCAUCCCUCGAUCUAUUUCCUAGGGCAUGAACGCCGCCGCCACCGCCAGUCCACCACCACCGCAGAAUCCUCAUCCGGCAAUGUCUUUCUCUUCCGCCCCCGGCGUCGGCGCGACCUCUGAGAUCGCCGCAGCCUGUGCGGAAACCCACAUCAGGGCAGGACCCAUAAGAGGGUAUGCUUGUGGGCCGCUGCCGCCGCCGUUAUCGUGGAACCCUAGGGCAGGGCAUGGUCGCGUUGCGGGCAGCGAGGAGCGGCGCAAGACCAUGCCGGCUAUUCCCUACACCAUGCAAAACCCUAGCUCCCGUCUGAUACGCACUGCAUCUUCCCCCUUCGGUAGAUCUUCGAGUACAACGGGAGUGCCGUGGUGGCGAUGGCGGGGAAGAACUGCUUCGUGAUCGCCAGCGACCGGCGCCUGGGCUUGUAGCUGCAGACAGUCGCCACUGACUUCCAGAGGGUGUUCAAGAUCCACGGCAAGUUGUACAUUGGCCUCUCUGGCCUUGCCACGGACGCCCAGGUGUUGUUGGUCUUGAAUCCUCAAUUGGCGGUUUCUGGUCGUUAGCUGAUCGCCCCUAUUUGGUGGCUUUCGUUGGUUUAGGGUUUGGGUUUGACAUGUGUGCUGUGUUACGUGUUUGUAGGUACUAGCGGUUGGUGUUCAAGCAUGAACUGUACCAGCUUCGGGAGGAGAGGGACAUGAAGCCUGAGACCUUUGCCAGCCUUGUCUCCACCCUCCUCUAAGAGAAAUGGUGAGAUGCUUCAAGUAUUGGGACUCUUGGUAGCUUGAUUUAGAGCAUUGUGCUAUUGUGGUCGUGUUAAGAGUAGAAAACAUGAACCAGCGCUGAGCAUGGGACGUAAAUUUAGACUUGUUGAAUUGCAUUGUGUCAACUGGUUGACUAUCCGAAGUAGCGUUGGUGUGCCUUCUAUUGGAUUAAUAUCCACAUAAUUUGGGAUAAAAAAUGAUGACCCAUGAUAUAGCUGGUGCUAGAAUUUGAAAUAUUACCCUCUGGUACAUAUGUUCAUAUUUUGCUGAUGUAAUUGUGCAAUUCUUCAUGUGGCAGUCUGAUUCAUAAAUCAUAUUUUUGAUUAUUUGAAAUGUGUAGAAUGUUUGUGUAGACACUGUAUAUUUUUUCUCUUGUCCUUCUGUCUUAUUACCACCCCUUGUAUUUGCUGAACUAUGGGACAGCUAACAGAGUUAUUUGAUGAUAUUGUGGCAAACUAAUUCAUAAAUCAUAUUUUUGAUUAGCCGAAAUGUGCAGGAUCUAUGUGAAGAUACAUUAUAACUAUUUUUUUCUUGCCCUCCUGUCCUAUUACCACCCCUUAUGUUUGCUUAAGUAUGGGGACAGCUAACCGAGUUAUUCCAUGACAUUUAGGUUUGGGCCAUACUUCUGCCAACCAAUUAUUUUUGGGCUAGGUGAAAAUGAUUAGCCAUUUAUAUGUACCAUGGACUGCAUUGGUGCCAAGUAUGCAUCAUUUAUUUUUCUGACAAUUCUAAGCCAGCGCAAGAAGAAAACAAAGUAUUAUCACAUGCCAUUGAGGAUGAUCAGGAGUACUAGCGCCCUGUCCGUCCAUGCUCCCCAUCACCGCCGUUGCCGCUGCCAUUGCUAAGGAGGACUGCUGACACUAAUGCUACGAGCUGCCCACAUCAUGACCAUCAGGGUGUUUGCUCAGUCUGCAUUGCUGCUGUUAUAUGCUGGCGGGCGUGUUGGCGUGUUGCCGCCCGAACCAGAUUUCAAGGUAAUAAAAACUCUACACGGAGAUACAUGCAAUGCAGGUGACAAUGCACAACCAAGCUCCCAAACCGAGCCUGGUUGAAGGAUGGUCGUCCGCCAUCCCGUGUGUCGCUGGCAUCGGGUAUAUAGCCAUCUUCACCAGCCAGUACAUCCACCUGUUGUUGAGGGCUGGAAGUCAUUGCGCUACUGGACAUAGCCAAGUGCGUAUGUGCUAUUGCACGAAUGUAAAGGGCUUCUGAGAAAGGAAGAGCAAUCGCUGCUGCUGUUGAGGGUGUUGAGAAGCAUUGGGGAACAUCUGUAUCUGGUCCCAAGUCCCAACACUUUUGUUGAAACUCUUCAUGAACGGAUGUUUAGGAAAUCACUGUCCAGAAUUAUAUAUGAGACUUCAAAGUAGCUCAAGAGAUAUAUUGAUGCAAGUUAUAGCCCAAAAUCUUCCACCCAAGUCUACUACAAUCCAGAAGGUCAUGACCCAGAGUCCAAAAUGUGCCAUGAUUGAUAUCCCGAUCGUUGAAGCCCUACACACAAUGCAUGAUUGAAAAUUUCUGCAUUUGCCUGUUCUAGACAGGAGUAUGUGGAAAAAUGAGCAAUGGAGUUGAUCUAAUUCAACUUUUUUUGUGAAGGCUGUUAAAUUAUGAAUAAUGACUUGUCAUUAUCCAGAUGGGAGUGUCGUAACUGUUGUUGAUGUCCUUCAAAUAACUCAUGCUGCAAUUGCAACAGUGGAAACAGUGGAGCAACGGGCUCCGAGGUGACUUCUUUUAUGGUGCAGAGCUUCUGGGAUCUAACAAUGUCAACUGGGCCUCGAUGAUGAUGAUGAUUCCAGAAGGAUCAACUAAAGUGGCAUCCGAGACAAUAGAAAAUGGGAAGAUCAGCCUUCUUUCUGGCGUCAGGCUUAUCAAACACUUUUGGGUUCAAGAUUCAGGACAAACAAGGCAUGAUGCACAUAUUUAACUCUGGUAUGCACUGUCAUUUUGUUAUCACGCUAGCUGGAGUUGUACCAUCGCUCUUUUCCCAUGUCAUGCCCAGUAAUUUAUAUUAUAGCGUGUAAGGUUCAAGUGUGAUGUUCAAAUUUCAGACACGAGUAGACUGACAGAAUUGAUAAUGUUGAUUCUUUAAUCACUUCGCAAUGACGUUGAUAAAUCGAACCUACCUCAAAUUCUGGUAUUGGUCAAGCUCCAUUGUCUACAUAUGUGCCUAUAUACCUAUAUCACUAUGUCAGUUCUCUAAGGUUUCUUCUUUUCCUGAUACCAUUUGAUAGUACGAAGAUGAUGAUCACCAUACUCUCAUCGGAUACCGACCUUAUACCGGCUGUGGACCAUGCAAAACAAAUCGGUUGGAAGGUAAUAGGAGGCAAAUUCAACCUUCACCUUUAUUCAUACAACAUUACUUAAUGAGAAUAUAAGAACAUAACUGGAUGGGCUCACAUUUAUUUGUUGUGUCAUAUACUAUACAAGGAGAUACAAUCUGUCAUACUUUUUAGUUUUGUAUAGGUCGCGCUAAGGAUUCAACAAAUGAUGACCAAUGUGAUGUGCAAAGAUAAGAGUAAUAGACCAUCCGAAGUUUACUACAUGUUCUUGUCUUCUUUGUCUAUUGCAUAUUUUUUCUUGUAACAUUUGAUAUAUUCAAAUAAAGUGCAAGUUGUGACUGAAAGAGUAGACAUUUUUUAUUUAUGUAAAAUUUGGCAACAAAAAAUUGUAGUCUUACCAAUCAUGCGGUGUGGCUGCUCACCGGCGCCGUAGAAGUGGGGGUUUAGAGGUAUGGCUAGGGGCAACGGUGGACCAUCGGAGAAGGUGGCUCAGGCAGGGCGGCAUACGACAUUGGCACCAGCUGCAACCAGUGCCGAAAGGUGGGUGAUGGGAACUCAAGGAGGUAGAAGACGACAACGAGCAUGGAAUUUUAGAAGAGGGGGUGGGGUGGGGUAGAGGGAUGGUCGGGGGCAACGGUGGAUCUAAGGCGAAGGCGACUCUGGGCAGGGGAAGAAAAGGAGGAUGCAUAACUUCAGAUCUGAUUGAAUGCAGUCAGAAGAUGGAGACUUGAAGGAGGAAUUAGUGAAGAAUGGGAGGGUGAAUAGAAUAAGGAAACCAAUCAAAUACGUGUAGGUAUGACAUGGUGCUUUUUUUAAUCUCUUGAGGAUGUCAAUAUUUUUCUACAGUUACAUAUAUACAACUGAAUCUUAAAGGGAAAAAAUGAUUAGGUACACCAUAGAAUUAAUCUCACUUGGUUUAUUUAUUACUCUGUUUUUAUCAACCAACAUGCUUGCCAAAUUUAUAAUUUGUUAUUUGCUUACCCCACUGCAAUAUUCUCCUAAGACAUACUCCCUCCGUCCCAAAAUUCUUGUCUUAGAUUUGUCUAAAUACGGAUGUAUCAACUAUCAAGUCACGUUUUAGUAUUAGAUAUAUCCGUAUCUAGACUAAUUUAAGACAAGAAUUUUGGGACGGAGGGAGUAUAUAUGUGUACUCGGACAGAAUCACAAAAGCUUUGUGUCUUGAUGUGCAUUGGUUGAUUAAAUGUCCGUGUAUAUCUGCUUAAUUUUCUAACCAAACAUAAAAGCUUUGUGUCUUGACAUGUUCAUAGAAGUGACGGGAUUCAUGAUACAAGCCUAAUAAUUUGAAAAUAUUUUUACGGU
Long non-coding RNA from Triticum aestivum (bread wheat), 4442 nucleotides. RefSeq lists it as uncharacterized. The transcript is spliced from 7 exons. Lineage: Eukaryota; Viridiplantae; Streptophyta; Magnoliopsida; Poales; Poaceae. The record is from RefSeq and is a predicted model, not a curated record.